CACGUAGGGGGCGAGCGUUGUCCGGAUUUAUUGGGCGUAAAGAGCUCGUAGGCGGCUAAGUAAGUCAGGUGUGAAACCCCCGGGCUCAACCCGGGGACGCCACCUGAUACUGCUUUGGCUUGAGUCCGGUAGGGGAGCGUGGAAUUCCUGGUGUAGCGGUGAAAUGCGCAGAUAUCAGGAGGAACACCAGCGGCGAAGGCGGCGCUCUGGGCCGGAACUGACGCUGAGGAGCGAAAGCGUGGGUAGCAAACAGG
This 254-nucleotide ribosomal RNA is filed under the name uncultured bacterium. Its description in RNAcentral is "partial 16S ribosomal RNA". It matches the Rfam family "Bacterial small subunit ribosomal RNA", at positions 524 to 776 of the family's 1533-position model. The record is from RNAcentral.